Long non-coding RNA from Cynocephalus volans (Philippine flying lemur), 302 nucleotides. RefSeq lists it as uncharacterized. The transcript is spliced from 3 exons. NCBI's taxonomy places the organism in Eukaryota, Metazoa, Chordata, Mammalia, Dermoptera, Cynocephalidae. The record is from RefSeq and is a predicted model, not a curated record.
UGGAAGCCAGCUGGUGGCAGCAGAAGAGACAAGAUAGAGGAUGCAAGAUGGCAGCAAAGAAUGCCUGAAUUCUAGGAGAUCAAGGAACUGACUAAGGUAAAGAUUCAUCUACAUUUAAAAUCCUAGUCUUGGUGUGGUUGCUGAUGAUGGUGCAAUUUGACUGAAGCAGUCUCAUAAGUGGAAGCUUAGAGUACCAGCUGAAGAAAAUAUUUUCACCGUGAGACCCAGUUCCAGCCAGAGACGUAAGAGGAAGUCAGCUGGUAGCUUCUGGGAACGAGUUUCCUCUCUGAGAAGAAAAGCCC